AUGGUGGACCCGCGGCAGGUGCUGGCGGGGUUCCUCACCCUCUCCAUGUUCGUCAUGCUCGGCAACAUGAUCAAGCACGACCACUUCACCUCCGUCUCCGAGCUGGCCGUGGAGGCAACAGGCGUGGAGCUCAAUGCGAUGAAGAUCGCAGACAAUACUGAAAUUACCAAGGCUGGAGUGGAGCUCGAGGCUACUGAGGAGAUUAAGCCCUGCUGGACCAAACCAAGCCCAAAGGAUGACCAGUCUAACGGUUUUGUUACCAUGUCAUUGACUAUUGGCCCCGAAUACCAUUCAUCACAGAUCGCUGAUGCUGUAGUGAUUGCAAGGUAUCUGGGAGCUACACUUGUACUUCCAGAAAUCAGAGGAAAUGAAUUAGGAAAGAGUCGAAAAUUCCAAGACAUGUACGAUGUGGAAAAAUUCAAGAUGAACUUGGAUGGUGUUGUCAAAGUUGUAGAUAAACUUCCUGCUGAAUGGACCACUAAGAAGCCAGCAGUCAUUAGAGUACCAAACCGGGUGACAGAAGACUUCAUCCUGGACACCAUCCAGCCCGCCUUCCAAAAGAACAGUUACCUACGACUUGCAAUUAUUUUCUCUUCAGUAAGUUUGAAACCGAAAGGGACAAAUAACAAGGACUUGGAUUCAACUGCUUGCCAUGCAAUGUUCACUGGGCUCAAACUGAACGCCGAAUAUUCAGAAGUGGCUGAACAGAUGCUGGGCAGGCUUAAAGAGCUAAGCCAGAAAUCAGAUGGCAGGGUGUUGGCGGUUGAUAUGCGGACCGACUUGCUAGAGAAGAAGACCUGUAAAACAAGCGCGGGUGCAAGAAGGAAAGGCUGUUACAAUCCUCAGGAGGUUCUGAAUUUCCUGAAGAAGGUCGGCUUCUCUGCUAAUACAACCAUCUACUUGACAGAGACAUGGUGGCACAAAGGCCUGAAUAAUCUUAAGAAGGCAUUCCCAAACACUUAUACCAAGGACGACAUAAUGCCGGCUGAGAAGAAAGGUGAGUUCCUGAACUCUGGCGAUUCAGACCUAGCAAGGGCCCUGGACCUCGAGAUCUGCUCGCAGAGCGACGUGUUCGUCCCUGCCAUCCCCGGCAUGUUCUACGGAAACGUGGCCGGUAAGAGGAUCGCGUCAGGCCUGACCCAGAUCCUUGUCCCGGCUCCGGUGGUGGGCGGUUCGGCGCAGGCCUCAGACUUCGUCUCCACAUACAUCACCAAGAAGAGCCACUUCGCCUACUCAUGCUACUGCUAG
RNAcentral lists this ribosomal RNA (1248 nucleotides) under Triticum aestivum (bread wheat). Its description in RNAcentral is "partial small subunit ribosomal RNA". Lineage: Eukaryota; Viridiplantae; Streptophyta; Magnoliopsida; Poales; Poaceae. The record is from RNAcentral.